AGAUAGAGAUGGAGGGUUUGAUCCUGGCUCAGGGUGAACGCUGGCGGCGUGCCUUACACAUGC
Molecule: ribosomal RNA, 63 nt
Filed under: Thermosipho sp. 1074
Lineage: Bacteria; Thermotogati; Thermotogota; Thermotogae; Thermotogales; Fervidobacteriaceae
Description: partial 16S ribosomal RNA
Source: RNAcentral